This 318-nucleotide ribosomal RNA is filed under the name uncultured bacterium. RNAcentral's name for it is "bacterial SSU rRNA". It matches the Rfam family "Bacterial small subunit ribosomal RNA", at positions 335 to 668 of the family's 1533-position model. The record is from RNAcentral.
ACUCCUACGGGAGGCAGCAGUGAGGAAUAUUUGCACAAUGGGCGAAAGCCUGAUGCAGCCAUGCCGCGUGAAUGAAGAAGGUUUUCGGACUGUAAAGUUCUUUCAGUGGUGAGAAUAGUGAUCGUUAACCACAGAAGAAGUCCCGGCUAACUCCGUGCCAGCAGCCGCGGUAAUACGGAGGGGGCGAACGUUAUUCGGAUUUACUGGGCGUAAAGCGAUCGUAGGCGGAAUGUUAAGUUAGAUGUGAAAGCCCUGGGCUCAACCCGGGAACUGCAUUUAAAACUGGCAAUCUAGAGUGUUGGAGAGGAUGACGGAAUU